UGCUUCACCCCUGAUUGCAAGCAGGGACCCCUUAGUUGGAAGCCAAGAAUACUGAUGUACUCGUGAAAC
Non-coding RNA from Acanthaster planci (crown-of-thorns starfish), 69 nucleotides. The record is from the annotation of a RefSeq genome assembly. NCBI's taxonomy places the organism in Eukaryota, Metazoa, Echinodermata, Asteroidea, Valvatida, Acanthasteridae.